CAAAGGCAGGGAGAGAGCCCUCGCUCUCUGUGCUCUCUUGCUCUGGCUUGCUUUCACUCUGUUUCAAUUUUCUAGGCUUUUAUUGGGUCCUGGCCUCCAGACGUGUCUGGAAUGUUGCUGUGGCUUCAACAGCACUCCCACAUCCCCACGGAUGCGACCCACGAUGCACCACACACAUCCACACUCACCCAAACAUGCAUUUUGCUGUAAACCCUUCUUUCAUCGAGCAGCUGAAGAUCUGUGUCUUUAGGGAUGUCCCGGCUUGCCCCAAGUAUUUGCUUUCAGAAUUAAGAAUGUCCUGAACCUUUCCCCUUGGUAGCACCUAACAGUUGCUGUUUUACUUUUACUUAUAGUUAUUUAAUCCCUUUAUCUCUCUUACAGACUCUAAGCUCCACGGGGCUGUAUCUGCUUUCUGCUCACCAGCACCUAGCGCAGAGCUUAGCUACAACGAAUGGUGUUAAUGUUUGUUAAGUGCAUAAACAGGACUCAACAGGGAAAGGACUGGGAUUUACAUCCUCACCUUCUUGCUCCCCAGCUCCUCACACUGUAUGCAUGAAUCUCCUUUUUUCAGGCACACCUAUGCCUCGGUGGUGUUUCCCAGACAUCGAGCAUCUCUGGAUCUCAUGACACCCUGCAUCUCUCUCUCCAGUGCACCCAUGCUCAUCCUCAGUGACUCCUCUAGAAUUCUUGUGAUUUUUUAACUGGUGGGGGACAGAGAGAUCAUAGGAGCCCAUUUUUCAGAUAGAGAAAACUGAGCCUCAAGACCCGGGGGAGGAUCAAAAGGAACAAGUGGUAGUCUGGAAAAAAGUGGAACAAUGCUGUUUAACUUGCUGGCCGAAACUGGCUCAUCACAAAGGAGACAGACGAGGGAGCAGUGUGGCCACUUCUGACAUCAGUCUCAGGGAACACAGUUUCUCAACAUUCGUGGUAAAAAGUGAAGAGCAUCUCCACUCUAACGAUAAAAAUCAAAAGGCCUUUCAUGUUUUUGCACAUUCAGGUUAACAUAAUGAGAAAUGACGCUGGGAAUGACUGAUGAGCAGCUGUAAGCCCAUAUGUCUGGGGUGUUGCCUUUUUCUCUGAAUAGCAUACGUGUUUCUGCCUACCAAGAUCUCAGUGUGGCUGAGUGACUGAGCCUUCAGGCUUGGUAUUUCCCUGCCUCCUCUGUGGAUUUCCAAUUCUUUGACGUCAAGAAUUUUCUCUUUUGCACAGCUUUGCCUCUUCCAGGAGGUGAAUGGUACGGGGAUGACUCACAAAAGUCUUCAGAUAAGAGGCGGACAAAAGAGACCCUUGUUCAGUGGCAGAAGUACCUGCAAAGCCUUAGCUUUGCUUGAGAUAUGACCUAUAACUGCUCUGAUUUUUGGACCCCAGAAAACCCUUGAAAGCUCAGCUUCCUUAUUGCUGUGUGUUCACCUUAUAACAGCACCG
RNAcentral lists this long non-coding RNA (1425 nucleotides) under Pan troglodytes (chimpanzee). RNAcentral describes it as "long non-coding RNA NONPTRT003729". The record is from RNAcentral. Lineage: Eukaryota; Metazoa; Chordata; Mammalia; Primates; Hominidae.